This 574-nucleotide ribosomal RNA is filed under the name Vibrio parahaemolyticus. RNAcentral's name for it is "partial 23S ribosomal RNA". It matches the Rfam family "Bacterial large subunit ribosomal RNA", at positions 1340 to 1898 of the family's 2925-position model. The record is from RNAcentral. Lineage: Bacteria; Pseudomonadati; Pseudomonadota; Gammaproteobacteria; Vibrionales; Vibrionaceae.
GAAGACCAAGGGUUCCUGUCCAACGUUAAUCGGGGCAGGGUAAGUCGACCCCUAAGGCGAGGCCGAAAGGCGUAGUCGAUGGGAAACGGGUUAAUAUUCCCGUACUUCUUACAAUUGCGAUGGGGGGGACGGAGAAGGCUAGGUGGGCCUGGCGACGGUUGUCCAGGUUCAAGUGCGUAGGCUUAAGAGUUAGGUAAAUCCGGCUCUUUUUAAGGCUGAGACACGACGUCGAGCACCUACGGGUGUGAAGUCAUUGAUGCCAUGCUUCCAGGAAAAGCCUCUAAGCUUCAGAUUGUAAGGAAUCGUACCCCAAACCGACACAGGUGGUCGGGUAGAGAAUACCAAGGCGCUUGAGAGAACUCGGGUGAAGGAACUAGGCAAAAUGGUACCGUAACUUCGGGAGAAGGUACGCUCUUGAUGGUGAAGUCCCUUGCGGAUGGAGCUAUUGAGAGUCGCAGAUACCAGGUGGCUGCAACUGUUUAUUAAAAACACAGCACUGUGCAAAAUCGUAAGAUGACGUAUACGGUGUGACGCCUGCCCGGUGCCGGAAGGUUAAUUGAUGGGGUUAGACUUC